Molecule: ribosomal RNA, 500 nt
Filed under: uncultured Glomeromycotina
Lineage: Eukaryota; Fungi; Glomeromycota
Description: partial small subunit ribosomal RNA
Rfam family: Eukaryotic small subunit ribosomal RNA
Source: RNAcentral
CCAAUAGCGUAUAUUAAAGUUGUUGCAGUUAAAAAGCUCGUAGUUGAAUUUCGGGAUCGACGGGUCGGUCGCGCCUCUGGUGUGUACUGGCCCUGUCGGUUUCUCCCUUCUGAAGAACCGCGAUGUCAUUAAUUUGGUGUCGCGGGAAAUCAGGACUGUUACUUUGAAAAAAUUAGAGUGUUUAAAGCAGGCAUUCGCUUGAAUACAUUAGCAUGGAAUAAUGAAAUAGGACGUUUGAUCUUAUUUUGUUGGUUUCUAAGAUCGACGUAAUGAUUAAUAGGGAUAGUUGGGGGCAUUAGUAUUCAAUUGUCAGAGGUGAAAUUCUUGGAUUUAUUGAAGACUAACUACUGCGAAAGCAUUUGCCAAGGAUGUUUUCAUUAAUCAAGAACGAAAGUUAGGGGAUCGAAGACGAUCAGAUACCGUCGUAGUCUUAACCAUAAACUAUGCCGACUAGGGAUCGGAUGAUGUUAAUUUUUUAAUGACUCAUUCGGCGCCUUACG